Molecule: non-coding RNA, 148 nt
Organism: Pan troglodytes (chimpanzee)
Lineage: Eukaryota; Metazoa; Chordata; Mammalia; Primates; Hominidae
Rfam family: Metazoan signal recognition particle RNA
About the family: The signal recognition particle (SRP) is a universally conserved ribonucleoprotein.
Source: Rfam
GCCGGGCAUGGUGGUGCAUGCCUCUAAUCUCAGCUACUCAGGAGGCUGAGGCAGGAGAAUCACUUGAACCCAGGAGGUGGAGGUUGCUGUGAGCUGAGAUCGUGCCACUGCACUCCAGCCUGGGUGACAAAGAGAGACUCUGCCUCAC